RNAcentral lists this long non-coding RNA (613 nucleotides) under Zonotrichia albicollis (white-throated sparrow). RNAcentral's name for it is "lncRNA (ENSZALG00000000809.1)". The record is from RNAcentral. Lineage: Eukaryota; Metazoa; Chordata; Aves; Passeriformes; Passerellidae.
AUUUUAGUACUUAUGUUAGAACCGUGGGAAGGUUGCUAAGGAAGCCCAAGGCUGCAGGGUCUGCACCACACUGGGCAGUCUGCACUCAGGACAGCUGUAAGCAGCACUUUGAGUUAAACUUGGAGAAAAUGUUAUGGAAUAAAUCCCUCCAGUGACCACCAGCCAAUGGAAAACAAAGGAUAAUUUUCAAGGCAGUGGAGGGAAGCUGAGACAUGCAUCUGCUGGAUGUAACACAUGGAUAUGGACACUGCUCCAUCUGGCAGUAUUGCACUCUCCUCUCCUUGUAAAAUCUGGUCAAUGGAGAGUUUCUAAAGAGGUGAGAUGUAAAGGAAAAAUUGUUGCCACAAAGUCAUUUUCCAGCCUGUUCAGAAAAUAUAAAGCAAAACAUAGUGAUUCGUUGCAAGACAAGGAGAGAUGGCAUCUACCUUUCAUCAUCACCUACAGCAAAUCUAAUUCAGUCCAUGAUAUUUCAAAAGAAUUUCUCACUGAAGUAUUUGAAAUACAUUACAUAACUAGGAGUGAGGAAGGGCCAUGAGUACUAACAGUACAAUGAGGUCAACAUCUUUCACUUCCUUUUAAUAAAAUACUAUAUUUUGCUUGUUAUGUGGAGUUU